CCUACGGGAGGCAGCAGUGGGGAAUAUUGGACAAUGGGCGAAAGCCUGAUCCAGCCAUGCCGCGUGUGUGAAGAAGGUCUUCGGAUUGUAAAGCACUUUAAGUUGGGAGGAAGGGCAGUUACCUAAUACGUAAUUGUUUGACGUACCGACANANAGCCCCGAUUU
Molecule: ribosomal RNA, 165 nt
Filed under: bacterium
Lineage: Bacteria
Description: partial 16S ribosomal RNA
Rfam family: Bacterial small subunit ribosomal RNA
Source: RNAcentral